AGCUAAUACCCUAUACGCUAUCUUUUUUCGUAAAAGGAUAGGAAAGCCGAGUCGAGGACCUGGUACUCAAGGAGGGGCUCAUGUCCUAUCAGCUUGUUGGUGGGGUAACGGCCUACCAAGGCUACGACGGGUAGCUGGUCUGAGAGGAUGAUCAGCCACACUGGCACUGAGAUACGGGCCAGACUCCUACGGGAGGCAGCAGUGAGGAAUAUUGCGCAAUGGGCGAAAGCCCUGACGCAGCGACGCCGCGUGGGGGAUGAAGGUUUUCGGAUUGUAAACCCCUUUCAUGAGGGAAAGAUAAAGUGGGUAACCACUUAGACGGUACCUCAAGAAGAAGCCACGGCUAACUUCGUG
Molecule: ribosomal RNA, 354 nt
Filed under: uncultured bacterium
Lineage: Bacteria
Description: bacterial SSU rRNA
Rfam family: Bacterial small subunit ribosomal RNA
Source: RNAcentral